GAUGAACGCUGGCGGCGUGCCUAAUACAUGCAAGUCGAACGAGGUGCUUUUGUAGCAAUACGAGAGUAUCCUAGUGGCGAACGGGUGAGUAACGCGUUGGUGACCUACCCCAAAGUGUGGGAUAACAGUCCGAAAGGAUUGCUAAUACCGCAUGUGGUCUUCAGGUUUAGAAACUGAUGACUAAAGGAGCAAUUCGCUUUGGGAGGGACCUGCGUCCCAUCAGCUAGUUGGUGAGGUAACGGCUCACCAAGGCGACGACGGGUAGGGGACCUGAGAGGGUGACCCCCCACAAUGGAACUGAAACACGGUCCAUACACCUACGGGUGGCAGCAGUAGGGAAUAUUGCACAAUGGGCGAAAGCCUGAUGCAGCAACGCCGCGUGUGCGAUGAAGGCCUUCGGGUCGUAAAGCACUUUUCUGAGAGAUGAGAAAGGACAGUAUCUCAGGAAUAAGUCUCGGCUAACUACGUGC
Molecule: ribosomal RNA, 470 nt
Filed under: uncultured bacterium
Lineage: Bacteria
Description: bacterial SSU rRNA
Rfam family: Bacterial small subunit ribosomal RNA
Source: RNAcentral